UGAGCAACCUGCCCCGGAGACCGGGAUAACAGCGGGAAACCGCUGCUAAUACCGGAUGCCCUCACCGGACCUUAUGGCCUGAUGAGGAAAUGAAUUUCGCUCUGGGAGGGGCUCGCGGCCUAUCAGCUUGUUGGCGGGGUAACGCCCACCAAGGCGACGACGGGUAGCUGGUCUGAGAGGACGAUCAGCCACACUGGGACUGAGACACGGCCCAGACUCCUACGGGAGCAGCAG
Molecule: ribosomal RNA, 234 nt
Filed under: uncultured bacterium
Lineage: Bacteria
Description: partial 16S ribosomal RNA
Rfam family: Bacterial small subunit ribosomal RNA
Source: RNAcentral